AUUGAACGCUGGCGGAAUGCUUUACACAUGCAAGUCGAACGGUAGAGGGGGCAACCCCUCGAGAGUGGCGAACGGGUGAGUAAUAUAUCGGAACGUGCCCAGUCGUGGGGGAUAACGUAGCGAAAGUUACGCUAAUACCGCAUACGAUCUAAGGAUGAAAGCGGGGGAUCGCAAGACCUCGCGCGAUUGGAGCGGCCGAUAUCAGAUUAGGUGGUUGGUGGGGUAAAGGCUCACCAAGCCAACGAUCUGUAGCUGGUCUGAGAGGACGACCAGCCACACUGGAACUAAGACACGGUCCAGACUCCUACGGGAGGCAGCAGUGGGGAAUUUUGGACAAUGGACGCAAGUCUGAUCCAGCCAUUCCGCGUGCAGGAUGAAGGCCCUCGGGUUGUAAACUGCUUUUGUACGGAACGAAAAGGUCUCUCUUAAUACGGGGGGCUCAUGACGGUACCGUAAGAAUAAGCACCGGCUAACUACGUGCCAGCCGCCGCGGUAA
Molecule: ribosomal RNA, 496 nt
Filed under: uncultured bacterium
Lineage: Bacteria
Description: partial 16S ribosomal RNA
Rfam family: Bacterial small subunit ribosomal RNA
Source: RNAcentral